Molecule: non-coding RNA, 100 nt
Organism: Acanthosepion pharaonis
Lineage: Eukaryota; Metazoa; Mollusca; Cephalopoda; Sepiida; Sepiidae
Source: the annotation of a GenBank genome assembly
CGUUGAAACACCGAUUCCCGUACGAUCACCGUAGUUAAGCAACGUCGAGCCUAGUCAGUACUGGGAUGAGUGACUGCUUGGGAAUACCUGAUGCUGUAAG